AUGAAAUAAUUUGAUUUUCACCUGUAAUGGUUGAGGUUUAAAUAAUAUAAAUAGAAUUAAUUGUGAUCUGGAUUCCUUUUUAUUCCUUUUGAGUGUCAUGAAAGGAUAGAUUUCAAUUUUUCAUGUAUGCUGGGAUUUGUUGUGUAUUGGAGUUGGUGGACAAAGAGUCUGACAGAACAACAGCUUUGUUUUUGGCGUCAAUUUAUACAUGAGACAGGGAAGACAAUGUUCUACUUCUGAAAGACAAGGCAAUUGUCAACAAGGGGCAGGGUAGAUAGUGUUCUGAAAGACAUGGCGAUAGCAGCGUUCAAAUCACUGACGAACUGUAGAUCUGUUCAGGCCAUUGCCAGACAGGGAUGCAGGAAACAUGGCUCAAAGAUGACUCUCUAAGAUUAAAUAGAAAGGCCAGUUCUCUGAUCAUAAUUUGAUCUGUAAACUUACUCUCUGCUUUUUAGGCAUUCAAAGGAAAAGGAACAGAGCCUGCCAGAUCUCAGGGGAAGAAAUUUCAAGUUUCUAUGGAACAAGAGGCUACAGGAUCACUUGACAACUAGGGUUGGCCAUCUAUGCAACAAUCCAAUUAUAUUGCUGCAGAGGGUGUAUACAGGCAGGUAGUUGGAUAUGGCCAUGAUGGCUACUUUCAUUGAGGAUAUGAAGCAAGAGAGAGAGAAGUGUAUUUACAGUGGGAUUUUAUGACUGCGAGGGUAGCUCAAUUUGCAAUAUUCUGAAUGCACUCUUUACAGGACAAUGGACGGUAUGCAACUUCUCUUCAUCCUUACUCUGUUUUAAUCUUGCUUGAAUUUCUUUGAUAAUAAUCUGGUGUCCAGAGUU
Cryptomeria japonica (Japanese cedar) is the source of this 828-nucleotide long non-coding RNA. RefSeq lists it as uncharacterized. The transcript has 3 exons. NCBI's taxonomy places the organism in Eukaryota, Viridiplantae, Streptophyta, Pinopsida, Cupressales, Cupressaceae. The record is from RefSeq and is a predicted model, not a curated record.